AUGAAAUGCGAGAGCAAGCCGGAGGGGCAGAUCAUGAAGAAAUGCACACAUUUUGAAUGGCUGGAUGACUACGUUAAGCGGAUUCAAUUCAAUGGGGCCCCAAUCCGGGAGCUCAAUCUGCCGUCAGCAACAACGAAUUUGGUCUCUGAAAGUUCUGCUCUGAUAGUUGGGGAUGCACAUCUGAAGGGGGAAAUAAAAAAGAUGAAUAAGAACUUGAAGCAGAUGAUUUAA
Molecule: ribosomal RNA, 231 nt
Filed under: Triticum aestivum (bread wheat)
Lineage: Eukaryota; Viridiplantae; Streptophyta; Magnoliopsida; Poales; Poaceae
Description: partial small subunit ribosomal RNA
Source: RNAcentral